RNAcentral lists this long non-coding RNA (250 nucleotides) under Elaeis guineensis (African oil palm). RNAcentral describes it as "long non-coding RNA (EGUI_LNC071407)". The record is from RNAcentral. Lineage: Eukaryota; Viridiplantae; Streptophyta; Magnoliopsida; Arecales; Arecaceae.
CACCCCGAACUCCUACAAGGGUCGGACUUCAAGCUUCUACUGCAAGCGACCCACUCUGAGCUUCUGCUACAAAUGAUCUACUUUAAAUUUCUAUCACGAGCGAUCCGUGCCAGAUUCAUUGUGGACGAAUUCCUUUUGGAUUUCUAUUACAGACAGGCCUCGGCCGAGAUUCCUCGAUAAAUGAUCCCCAUCUGGGCUUCUACGGAGAUCGGACUCCAACCGAACUUCGACCGAUAGGUCUGGACCCCCU